GAAGAAGAAGAUGCAUCGUUAUGAUUUACGACGAGAAGAUUGUUUGUGUUUCCAGAAGCGUUGGGUAUCUUUAGAGAGAUGAGAAUUGAAGGAGUUAAAUUGGAAUUGCAUGACUGUAUCUUACUCAUUGCUGGUGCUCCACUUGGUGAAGAAUUGAAGGGGAUUUUGAUUCAUGUGUAUGUGCUCUUCCUCUUAUGUGGUCUUCCUCUUUUCUGUAUUUCCUUUUAAGAUUCAUGAUACAAUUUGUAUCUUAUCUAUCACGGACAGGUGAAGGUGGGAACCCGUUCUGCGUUACUCAACUUUGGAUCACCAGUGGAUGCAUCUCAGCUAUAUAAAUUACUCCAUGCCCUUCAUCCACAUCCUCAUUAGAAGAAAAAUUAGCAGGCAGAGGUGCACCUGGAACAUAUUUGUACUCUACCUGGAAGCAGUGCAGCAAAU
Molecule: long non-coding RNA, 438 nt
Organism: Papaver somniferum (opium poppy)
Lineage: Eukaryota; Viridiplantae; Streptophyta; Magnoliopsida; Ranunculales; Papaveraceae
Exons: 3
Source: RefSeq, a predicted model, not a curated record